AGAGCGAACGCUGGCGGCAGGCCUAACACAUGCAAGUCGAGCGCCCGUAGCAAUACGGGAGCGGCAGACGGGAUAGUAACACGUGGGAACGCGCCCUUCGGUUCGGAAUAACUCAGGGAAACUUGAGCUAAUACCGGAUACGCCCUUACGGGGAAAGAUUUAUUGCCGAAGGAACGGCCCGCGUCCGAUUAGCUAGUUGGUGAGGUAAUGGCUCACCAAGGCGACGAUCGGUAGCUGGUCUGAGAGGAUGACCAGCAUCACUGGGACUGAGACACGGCCCAGACUCCUACGGGAGGCAGCAGUGGGGAAUAUUGGACAAUGGGCGCAAGCCUGAUCCAGCCAUGCCGCGUGGAUGAUGAAGGCCUUAGGGUUGUAAAGUCCGUUUUAACGGGGAGGAUAAUGACGGUACCCGUAGAAUAAGCCCCGGCUAACUUCGUGCCAGCAGCCGC
RNAcentral lists this ribosomal RNA (449 nucleotides) under uncultured bacterium. RNAcentral describes it as "SSU rRNA". It matches the Rfam family "Bacterial small subunit ribosomal RNA", at positions 26 to 518 of the family's 1533-position model. The record is from RNAcentral.